UUCCGGUUGAUCCUGCCAGAGGUUACUGCUAUCGGUGUUCGCCUAAGCCAUGCGAGUCAUAUGUAGCAAUACAUGGCGUACUGCUCAGUAACACGUGGAUAACCUGCCCUUGGGACCGGCAUAACCCCGGGAAACUGGGGAUAAUUCCGGAUAACGCAUAUUUGCUGGAAUGCUUUAUGCGUCAAAAGGAUUCGUCUGCCCAAGGAUGGGUCCGCGGCCUAUCAGGUAGUAGUGGGUGUAAUGUACCUACUAGCCAGCGACGGGUACGGGUUGUGAGAGCAAGAGCCCGGAGAUGGAUUCUGAGACAUGAAUCCAGGCCCUACGGGGCGCAGCAGGCGCGAAAACUUUACAAUGCGGGAAACCGUGAUAAGGGGACACCGAGUGCCAGCAUCAUAUGCUGGCUGUCCGGAUGUGUAAAAUACAUCCGUUAGCAAGGGCCGGGCAAGACCGGUGCCAGCCGCCGCGGUAACACCGGCGGCCCGAGUGGUGAUCGUGAUUAUUGGGUCUAAAGGGUCCGUAGCUGGUUUGGUCAGUCCUCCGGGAAAUCUGAUAGCUUAACUAUUAGGCUUUCGGGGGAUACUGCCAGACUUGGAACCGGGAGAGGUAAGAGGUACUACAGGGGUAGGAGUGAAAUCUUGUAAUCCCUGUGGGACCACCUGUGGCGAAGGCGUCUUACCAGAACGGGUUCGACGGUGAGGGACGAAAGCUGGGGGCACGAACCGGAUUAGAUACCCGGGUAGUCCCAGCCGUAAACGAUGCUCGCUAGGUGUCAGGCAUGGCGCGACCGUGUCUGGUGCCGCAGGGAAGCCGUGAAGCGAGCCACCUGGGAAGUACGGCCGCAAGGCUGAAACUUAAAGGAAUUGGCGGGGGAGCACAACAACGGGUGGAGCCUGCGGUUUAAUUGGAUUCAACGCCGGG
RNAcentral lists this ribosomal RNA (918 nucleotides) under uncultured archaeon. Its description in RNAcentral is "bacterial SSU rRNA". It matches the Rfam family "Archaeal small subunit ribosomal RNA", at positions 1 to 922 of the family's 1478-position model. The record is from RNAcentral.